Molecule: ribosomal RNA, 973 nt
Filed under: Microbacterium resistens
Lineage: Bacteria; Bacillati; Actinomycetota; Actinomycetes; Micrococcales; Microbacteriaceae
Description: bacterial SSU rRNA
Rfam family: Bacterial small subunit ribosomal RNA
Source: RNAcentral
AGCGUUAUCCGGAAUUAUUGGGCGUAAAGAGCUCGUAGGCGGUUUGUCGCGUCUGCUGUGAAAUCCCGAGGCUCAACCUCGGGCCUGCAGUGGGUACGGGCAGACUAGAGUGCGGUAGGGGAGAUUGGAAUUCCUGGUGUAGCGGUGGAAUGCGCAGAUAUCAGGAGGAACACCGAUGGCGAAGGCAGAUCUCUGGGCCGUAACUGACGCUGAGGAGCGAAAGGGUGGGGAGCAAACAGGCUUAGAUACCCUGGUAGUCCACCCCGUAAACGUUGGGAACUAGUUGUGGGGUCCUUUCCACGGAUUCCGUGACGCAGCUAACGCAUUAAGUUCCCCGCCUGGGGAGUACGGCCGCAAGGCUAAAACUCAAAGGAAUUGACGGGGACCCGCACAAGCGGCGGAGCAUGCGGAUUAAUUCGAUGCAACGCGAAGAACCUUACCAAGGCUUGACAUACACGAGAACGGGCCAGAAAUGGUCAACUCUUUGGACACUCGUGAACAGGUGGUGCAUGGUUGUCGUCAGCUCGUGUCGUGAGAUGUUGGGUUAAGUCCCGCAACGAGCGCAACCCUCGUUCUAUGUUGCCAGCACGUUAUGGUGGGAACUCAUGGGAUACUGCCGGGGUCAACUCGGAGGAAGGUGGGGAUGACGUCAAAUCAUCAUGCCCCUUAUGUCUUGGGCUUCACGCAUGCUACAAUGGCCGGUACAAAGGGCUGCAAUACCGUGAGGUGGAGCGAAUCCCAAAAAGCCGGUCCCAGUUCGGAUUGAGGUCUGCAACUCGACCUCAUGAAGUCGGAGUCGCUAGUAAUCGCAGAUCAGCAACGCUGCGGUGAAUACGUUCCCGGGUCUUGUACACACCGCCCGUCAAGUCAUGAAAGUCGGUAACACCUGAAGCCGGUGGCCUAACCCUUGUGGAGGGAGCCGUCGAAGGUGGGAUCGGUAAUUAGGACUAAGUCGUAACAAGAGCACCAUGGC